AUGCACCAUGCUGCUCCCUUGGAAGACCGGCUGAGUGACGCAGCGGCGAAGGCAGUGAACGAGCGGCUGUCGUCGGGUGCCGCCAGCAACCUGAGCAGCCUCUACUCCUGGGCCGACAAGGUCAGGUUCAGGGGACUGCAAGGACGAGGAGGGCAUCAAGGUCCACUGCAUCGCUGGUGCCAUCAACAACUACGCCUCCCAGCUCCUCACCUAGGGAUCAUCAUCGCCAUCACCAUCUUCUAA
RNAcentral lists this ribosomal RNA (243 nucleotides) under Triticum aestivum (bread wheat). RNAcentral's name for it is "partial small subunit ribosomal RNA". Lineage: Eukaryota; Viridiplantae; Streptophyta; Magnoliopsida; Poales; Poaceae. The record is from RNAcentral.